Molecule: ribosomal RNA, 229 nt
Filed under: uncultured bacterium
Lineage: Bacteria
Description: partial 16S ribosomal RNA
Rfam family: Bacterial small subunit ribosomal RNA
Source: RNAcentral
UGCGUAGGCGGCGCUAUAAGUCAGAGGUGAAAGGCCACAGCUUAACUGUGGGACUGCCUUUGAUACUGUAGUGCUUGAAUUAGGUUGAGGUUGGCGGAAUGUGACAUGUAGCGGUGAAAUGCUUAGAUAUGUCAUAGAACACCAAUUGCGAAGGCAGCUGACUAGACCUUAAUUGACGCUGAGGCACGAAAGCGUGGGGAGCGAACAGGAUUAGAUACCCUGGUAGUCC